AAAUAUUUUUUUUAGUAACCCCGUUUAUUGAUUUUCUUUUGUUACCUUCACCUUCACUGAUUAUGUGAUUAUUAUUUAGUCUCUAGAUGUCAAUCAUGUCAAUGCCAUUUUAUUUUCCGAACAAAGAUAAUGUCGUUUGGAAGAAGCUUCUUUGACUGUGUUAACAGCAAUGAAGUUUACAAAAAUGUCCCAAUGGCGUCUUUCUUCUAAUUCCAAGGAACGCGGAAAAUAAUAAUGGUGCCAUGGUAUGGAAAAAGUGGACCUGAAACAUGGUAAACGAUAGACAUUAGAGAUUGGUGUCAUUUGUGGAUAGGUUAAUCGAGAACUGAUUCCCUUAAGGAAUUAAUUCUUUACUGAAAAUGAAGAGUACAAAUUAUGGUUACUCUCCAAUUUUUGAAGACAAUGUUAUGGUUUAACAGACUUCUCAAAUUGCCGCGGGAACCAUCGGGAACCACAAGCCAUGGAGUUUGAAUAAGCUAUGUAUUCAAAGGUGAAUACUUUGUGAGCAGUUUUGAAAAUUGCCAAGGCUAAUCAAGGUUGAAGAAACCGAUGGUUGCAAUGAUGGAUAAUUGCAUGGCUAAAAUAUGUUGACUGCACAUGUUUUGUAUAAUAUUUAAUGAAUCUCGUACUGUA
Molecule: non-coding RNA, 633 nt
Organism: Onthophagus taurus
Lineage: Eukaryota; Metazoa; Arthropoda; Insecta; Coleoptera; Scarabaeidae
Source: RefSeq, a predicted model, not a curated record